This is a long non-coding RNA of Quercus lobata, 1779 nucleotides long. RefSeq lists it as uncharacterized. The record is from RefSeq and is a predicted model, not a curated record. The transcript has 3 exons. Lineage: Eukaryota; Viridiplantae; Streptophyta; Magnoliopsida; Fagales; Fagaceae.
UGAGUAGAGUGGUAGUGUAGGGACCUGGCUACGACUCACUGUUUCAGGGAUAAGAAGGAGAGAGGGGAGCUGAUGAUAAAUAUUAAAAAUAAAAAGAGAAGAGGGGUUUGCGUUCUUUGUGGUUUUGCUGUUUCGGCUUCAGCCACAAUACCUGUAAUAUCUUUCUAAUUCUUUUUAUAUUUUUAUUCAUUCCUUUCGGGGUUUCGGCUAAUCUCUCUCUCUCUCUCUCUCUCAAUUUCUUUCUUUCUUUUUAAACUCUUUCUCUUUAUUUCAUUCUUGUAAGAAUCAGCCUUAUUAUAUGAUCGAUCUGUUCUUACUUUUCGAAUGUGAGUUACUGAGUUUUUGUUUCAGAUUAUGGAGAUUUGAUUAGCUUUCUAGUGCCCCAGUUCGAUCUAUAUUUUAUUGUUCCGUAUCUGAUCCUUGACUAGUAAUGAGCUUUUUUUUUUUUUUUUGGGGUCAAAUUCUAUUCGAGCAAAAAUUCUCUCUGGCUCAGCAGUUGAUCACAUUACAUCUUUUUUGCAUCUGCUUUUGUUGAGUAUUAUUUUUUCUUCUUUACCCAAAACACUCUCCGUAAUACACUUUUCUGGAUAAUGUUUUUUUGUAGAGCCAAAACUACGGUUCAGUACUGAGGAGCAAGUGUGGUCUUUGAAGAAUGAGCUGACAUAGGCAAUAGAGAGAGAUGUCAAGGGAGUUGGUGGUCUAUUUUGGAAGAGAAUGAUGGGUGGCACCAUAGUAAAAGCUUAUAAAUAGAGGGGUUCACAAACUGCAGAAGCCACAAUAUUGGUUGUGCUAUAUUGACCUUGAAGUUUCUAGUGGGGAGGAGAUGGAACUGCUGAAGAGAAUAGAUAGCGCACAAUUAUAGAGUAAUUUAUUCUUCUUUAGUGCUUCUUUUAGGUACUAUUUAUCCAUUUCAUUAUAUUAUUUACCUCAUUCAAUGCCUUUUCUGUUGUAACGUAUGAUAAACAAUAUUCCAAAGUUAUUAUAUGAAGACCAAAAGAAAAUUACAGUUGUAUGGUUGUUUGUAAUUCUAUUUAGCAAGUCAAUGUAGUUAAGUUUUGUGAUAGGUGAUCUACAAGAUUAGAAACUCACAGUCCUAUUAGGUAAUUCACAACUUAUAUUACUAAAGAUAUCCAUCUAUGACUAGAGAAUAACCACCAAAAGCACAAUUGCAAUUUGAUUAUGCACUCCAACUUAGUCUCAUUGAGUAUUUCAUUUAAAAUUUUCAGUUUAUUAUUAUAUAAGCAUUACAAAAAAAUGUAUGCACACACACGCACACUCUUAUAGAGAGAUUAUCAUUGUUAAAAACAUCAAAACAUUUCUCCCCGUAUUCCCUCAAUUUUGCUUUAGUUUUUGUUUUAUUUUUUCAGGCCUGAGAAAAUAGUUUUAUAACUUAUAAGUUAAUAUGUUGGAAACAAAAUUUAGACUUAUGUGUACUUAUGAGGGAAAAUGCUAUAUUGUAUAGGACUUAAAUUUAUAGCUCUCUUUUUCCCUCCCUUUUGCCAAUUGCCCAUGAUGAGUCAAUGAAUCACUUUGCAUAAACUGUUAUGUUCUAGUUGUUCACUACUCUUUAUAUUAAAAGCUUUAAUGCUGCCUAUAUUGAUUCUCAAGAUAAAACUUCAAAUGGAAGUUUAAGACCUAGGGUAAAAGUGUUUGUGAACAUGUGCAGAGAGAGAAGCCUGUAACUGCCAGAUAAGAACAAUGGCUGAAGAGUUACAAAAAGUAACAGUCAAUAAAUAUAACUUUUCAAAAAAAUUUGUAACUUUUCCACCUUUUUUCUGA